GUUCAACGGCCGCGGUAUCCUAACCGUGCGAAGGUAGCGUAAUCACUUGUUCUUUAAAUGAGGACUAGUAUGAAUGGCACCACGAAGGUUAUACUGUCUCCUUUCUCUAAUCAGUGAAACUAAUCUCCCCGUGAAGAAGCGGGGAUAAAAAUAUAAGACGAGAAGACCCUAUGGAGCUUCAAACAAAUACACAACUGCCUAUUUCACUAAAAAUUUCAGGAGAAAAACACCUAUCCAGGCACUUUGAUGUAGAGUUUUAGGUUGGGGUGACCACGGAGUAAAAAAUAACCUCCGUAAUGAAAGGGAGUUUCCCUAAACUAAGGACUACAACCCUAAGUAUCAACAAAUUGACACCAAUUGACCCAAUACAUUUGAUCAAUGAACCAAGUUACCCUAGGGAUAACAGCGCAAUCCACUUCAAGAGCCCCUAUCGACAAGUGGGUUUACGACCUCGAUGUUGGAUCAGGGUAUCCUAGUGGUGCAGCCGCUACUAAUGGUUCGUUUGUUCAACGAUUAAAACCC
This 522-nucleotide ribosomal RNA is filed under the name Leptodactylus tapiti. RNAcentral's name for it is "partial 16S ribosomal RNA". It matches the Rfam family "Bacterial large subunit ribosomal RNA", at positions 1922 to 2596 of the family's 2925-position model. Lineage: Eukaryota; Metazoa; Chordata; Amphibia; Anura; Leptodactylidae. The record is from RNAcentral.